UCUUGAGGACCCCAAGACCCUUGAAGACCCCAACGUCCUCAAGAACCCCAACACUCUUGAAGACCCCAGGACCCUUGACAAUCCCAACACCCUUGAAGACCCCAACGCCCUUGAAGACCCCAACACCCACAAGAACCCCAAGACCCUUGAAGACCCCAACACCCUAAAAGACCCCAACGCCCUGGAGGACCGCGACACCCCGAUUACCGCAGCGCCCCCCUGGGACCGGGUGGUCUUCGUGCUCCCGGCCUUCGAGGUGCGCGCGGGGGUCCCGGUGCCGGAGACGAAGGCGGAGCUGCUGCGCUUGUGGGGCCGGGGGGCGGCGCGGCCGUUCUAUGGGGCGCUGUGCCCCCGCUGCCAGGCCCCCACGGGCUACGGGCGGUGGCGGGGGCUGCCCCCGGCCCCCCGGCUGAGCGUGGCCUACGAGGCGCCGUGGCGGGACCCCUGGGAGCCCUUCUACGUGGGGCCGGCCCACGCCGUGCCCCCCUUCGACGAGCGCUUCGUGCAGUACGGCUUCAACCGCAUCAGCCAGGCCUGCGAGCUGCACAUGGCCGGGUUCCGCUUCGCGGUGCUGGACGGGGCCUUCGUCGUCCACCGCGGCUUCAAGGAGGCCGGCGGCUUCCACGGGGCGCGCGAGGCCGAGCUGAGCCACAACCGGCAGCUCUACCGCCGCUUCCGCCACGAGCUGCGCCUCCGCUACCCCCACACCACGCGGCGCUGCUGACCCCCCCCCCACCCCCCCCCCCCCACCCCGCACGGGGUCCGGGGGUGGCGUCAACGGGGUGCCGGGGACGUUGGUCAAUGGGGUUGUGUGGGUACUGGUCAAUGAGGUGCUGUGGGUGUUGGCCAACUGGGUGCCCGUGGGUGUUGGUCAACGGGGUCCCGUAGGUGUUGGUCAACGGGGUCCUCGGGACGUUGGUCAACUGGGUUCCUAUGGGUGUUGGUCAACGGGAUCCCAUGGGUGUUGGCCAACUGGAUUCCCAUUGGUGUUGGUCAACGGGGUCCCAUGGGUGUUGGUCAAUGGGGUGCCGUGGGUGUUGGUCAAUAGGGUUCCCAUGGGUGUUGGUCAAUGGGGUCCUGGGGGUUUUGGUCAACGGGAUCCCAUGGGUGUUGGUCAACGGGGUCCUCGGGACGUUGGUCAACAGGGUUCUGUGGACGUUGGUCAGUGGGGUCCCAUGGGUGUUGGUCAACUGGGUCCCUUGGACAUCAUCAACUGGUUGCUUGGGGUCAAUGGGUCCUAUAGAUGUUGGCCAGCUGGGUUCUAUGGACACUGGUCAAUAGGAUCCUCGGGAUGUUGGUCAACUGGGUCCCAUUGGUGUUGGUCAACGGAAUCCUAUGGGUUUUGGUCAACGGGAUCCCAUGGGUGUUGGUCAACAGGGUUCUGUGGACGUUGGUCAACUGGGUCCCGUGGGUGUUGGCCAACUGGG
RNAcentral lists this long non-coding RNA (1427 nucleotides) under Anas platyrhynchos platyrhynchos (common mallard). RNAcentral's name for it is "lncRNA (ENSAPLG00000017357.1)". Lineage: Eukaryota; Metazoa; Chordata; Aves; Anseriformes; Anatidae. The record is from RNAcentral.